Molecule: ribosomal RNA, 460 nt
Filed under: uncultured bacterium
Lineage: Bacteria
Description: partial 16S ribosomal RNA
Rfam family: Bacterial small subunit ribosomal RNA
Source: RNAcentral
CCUACGGGUGGCUGCAGUGAGGAAUAUUGGUCAAUGGACGCAAGCCUGAACCAGCCAAGUAGCGUGCAGGAUGACUGCCCUACGGGUUGUAAACUUCUUUUAUCAGGGAAUAAAAUGCGGCUCGUGUGCCUUUUUGUGUAUGCUUUAUGAGUAAGGGUCGGCUAACUCCGUGCCAGCAGCCGCGGUAAUACGGAGGAUCCGCGCGUUAUCCGGAUUUAUUUGGGUUAAAGGGAGCGUAGAUGGGUUGUUAAGUCAGUUGUGAAAGUUUGCGGUUCAACCGUAAAAUUGCAAUUGAUACUGGAAGUCUUGAGUACAGUCGAGGUAGCCGGAAUUCGUGGUGUAGCGGUGAAAUGCUUAGAUAUCAUGAAGAACUCCGAUCGCGAAGGCAGGUGACUAAAGUGCAACUGACACUGAGGCUCGAAAGUGCGGGUAUCAAACAGGAUUAGAUACCCCUGUAGUC